This 440-nucleotide ribosomal RNA is filed under the name uncultured bacterium. RNAcentral describes it as "partial 16S ribosomal RNA". It matches the Rfam family "Bacterial small subunit ribosomal RNA", at positions 338 to 795 of the family's 1533-position model. The record is from RNAcentral.
CCUACGGGGGGCAGCAGUGAGGAAUAUUGGUCAAUGGGGGAAAGCCUGAAGCAGCAAAGCCGCGUGGAGGAUGAAGGUUUUAGGAUUGGAAACUCCUUUUGUUAGAGAAGAAAAUGACGGUAUCUAACGAAUAAGCACCGGCUAACUCCGUGCCAGCAGGCGCGGUAAUACGGAGGGUGCAAGCGUUACUCGGAAUCACUGGGCGUAAAGAGCGCGUAGGCGGGAUAGCAAGUCAGAUGUGAAAUCCUAUGGCUUAACCAUAGAACUGCAUUUGAAACUGUUAUUCUAGAGUAUGGGAGAGGUAGGUGGAAUUCUUGGUGUAGGGGUUAAAUCCGUAGAGAUCACGAGGAAUACUCAUUGCGAAGGCGACCUGCUAGAACAUAACUGACGCUGAUGCGCGAAAGCGUGGGGAGCAAACAGGAUUAGAUACCCGGGUAGUC